ACCUUCUCCCUGUGUCUUCACAUGGUCUUCCCUCUGUGCAUGUCCGUGUCCUAAUUUCCUAUUCUUAUAAGGAUGCCAAUCAUACUGAACUAGGGCAUAUCCUAGUGACCUCAUUUUAACUUAAUCACCCCCUUUAAAGACCCUAUCUCCAAAUACACUCAUGUCUAAGGUAUUGGGAGUUAGGGUUUCAACAUAGGAAUGGUGGGGUUGAGGGAGGGGGCAACAACUCAGCCCAUAGCCCCCAGCAUCUCACAACAUAAUAUUCAAAACACCCAGAAUCCAGUAUCAUCUUAAUGAGGCAGCAUUACUCUGCUAACAAAAUCAAAGACAUUACAAGAGCAGAAAACUGUGGAUCAAUAUCUCAAUUGAACAAGACAAAAAGUAGUCAACGAGAUAUUGGUAAAUUAAAUCCAGCAAUAUAUAGAGAAGAUAAUGCAAAGCAUUCAAAUAUUCAACAUCCAAAAAAAAUCAAUCCUUACAAUUCAUGCCACACUGACAGAACUAUGAAGAAACAAAACAAUCAUAUCAGUAGAUGCAGAAAAAGCAUUUGACAAAAGUAAACAUCCACUCAUGAUUUAAAACUCUUAGUAAACUAGAAAUAGAAGGGAACUUCCUGGAUCUGAUAAAGAACAUCUAGAAAACAAAACCAAACAACCUAUAGCUAACAUUAUACCUAAUGGUGAAAGAGUGAAUGCUUCCCUCUACGAUCUAGGAAUACGAGAGGAUGUCUAACCUCACCACUCCCAUUCAAAAUCACACUGAAAGUUUUUGCCAGUACAAUAAAGCAAGAAAAAGAAAUAAAAGUCAUAUAUAUAUAGAGAUGCCUUAUAUAUAAAGAAGACAUAAAACUAUCUCUAAUUGCAGAAGAAAUGAUUGUCUAUACAGAAAAUCUCAAGGAAUUUCCAAAACAUCAUAUAACUAAUAACUGAAUUUUGAAAGGUCAUAGAACACAAGGUCAAUAUUAAAAGAUCAAUUGUGUUUCCACACUCAAGCAACAAACAAUAUGAACUUUAGCCAAAAAGCACCAUUUACAACAACACCAAAAAAUAAAAUACUUAGCCUAGAUCUAACAAAAUACGUGCAGGAUCUGAAUGCUGAAAACAACAUACUGAUGAAAUAGCAAAGAAGAUCUAAAUAAAUGGAGAGAAAUACUAUGGUCAUGAAAUCAAAGACUCAAUAUUGUUAAGAUGUGAAUUCUCCCCAGAUUGAUGUAAAA
This 1216-nucleotide long non-coding RNA is filed under the name Homo sapiens (human). Its description in RNAcentral is "non-protein coding lnc-ATG2B-10:2". The record is from RNAcentral. Lineage: Eukaryota; Metazoa; Chordata; Mammalia; Primates; Hominidae.